AGGAACCCGGGUCAGGUCGGGGAACAAUCACAACCCUAAACUAUUGCUAUAACACUCGCGCCUUCUCUUCAUCUCUCUCACUCUCCGUCUCAUGGCUUUCGUCAGCUGCGCAGCCGUCACCACCGCCUGUUCGCCGUCGAUCCCAGAGGUUGCACUGACACCGUUUCUCCCUGCCCCGCUGCCUCAGACCUUCGGUUCUGCUAUGGCCUAUUCCAUCUCCCUUGCUGAUACAACCGAUUUUCACCGCCGCCGUCUGAUGCCCUUGUCCGCGGGUGAAGCCGCCUUUCGCCGCAUCUUCGCCAUUAAUCUUCGUCGCCAGCAAAGCUUCGGUUGGCUACGCCGAAUUUCUCCUUCCCUGCUUGACUGCCUUGCCCGGGUCUGUUGGUGUUAUUCACGGAGACAUUUCUCCUUUCCGGCGAAGUCGCAUCAGCACCGUUGACGACUGGGAGAGGGUUUAAAGUUCCCGAAUUUGGCAUCAGGUCUCUCUGCCACAGUGAUUCCCCGAAAUUCAUAUUCCCUUGCCUCUGAAUUCUGGAAUGCAAUGUGUUUUGAGUCUUGCCCAGUGAAUGGCUUCGAUUGGAGCAUCCAUUUUGGUUUGAAGCCUCCCUCCUUUGUUGUUCUGCUAUCUCUCAUGGGGACUUCCAUCUCCAGUUUUUCUCCAAUUGGCCUAUCAGGAAACAUUUCGCCACUCCAUCUGUGACUUUAUUUCCCUCUCUAGGGACCCAUAUGAAGUCACAAUUGGGAAGACUCUCAGCCAGGAGAAGAAUAUCUCGAAGAAUUGGUUCCACCUCUCCUAUAUAAGUUUUUUAUUUUACUGCUUGCACAAGAGGUAAAUUAUCCGACUCUAAUUAAGAUUUGCUCCAAAUUAAUAUUUGUAGCUAAAAUUAGUGCCAUUCUCAUUGCUUCUGCUUCUGCAGCUAAGCUGGAAUGAGCUCUGAUUCUCAUGGAUUCUCCUGUUAAUAGUCAUCCAGAGUUGUCUCGAAUCACAAUUGCAGUUGCUCCCUCCGCUGUCGAUCUUCUAUACGCAGCAUCUACGUUAGCCUUUAGCCAAUCCCUCGGUGGAGGUCUCCAGGUAAUGCUCCUUCUGCUUAUACUCCUGUUCUGGUUUUGUCCGAGCUGCUCCUUUUUUCGCAUUGCUUCCCUGAUUUCUGAUUCUAGGAUUUUAGCUCUGAUGAUGGUAGCAUUGGGGUUGGGGAUAGUGUUUUGAAAUAUAGUCUGGUUUCUCGUUUUCCAAAUCUCCCAACUUAGCACUCCAAUUCUUCCAAUUAGAUCCUCUGCUUCUUCCUUCCCUUGUCCUCUAAUUUUUCUGCAUAUUUCAAGCAGCCAUUCUGCAAAUGACUUGAUUGUUUCUGGUGUUGAUAAACAUUGACUCUGUGCUCCAAACCACGUUACUCUGAUCCACGAGCAUAGAAGAAUUGCAUGUUUUAUAGUCUCUAUUCCUUCCCUGCAAAUUCCACAGAUAGGAGUAUUAGUUAUUUUCUUUUUAAAUAAGUUAUUAUUAAUAGUAUAGAUAUCAUGUGUCAAGUUCAGCAUUGUUCCUCUUUUUUUUUGUUGAGUUCAUCGUUGUUCAAAGUUGUUCCUAUAGCAAACUUCCUAUCAAGGGCCCAAUCCGGGAUCAACUUUGGUAGUUACUGGGCCCAACUACUUCUCGAUCAUCCACGCCGUCAUUUCAAGUUAAUUUUGGCAGAGGAUCUUAAAAGAGUGUUAUUGCCAAGAGCAGUUCCUGGUUUUGUUUUUGGGGCUUUAAGCCCCUUUAAUGCCAAAAACAAGAAACAUUUUUUUCCUUGUGACUAGAACAUUUUUGCUUUUCAACAGAUAAUUUUGUUUCUUACUAUAGAUAAAUUACUUUCGCUGAAAUUCGUUUUUUUUUUUUUUUUACCAAAGAUAGGAGACUCGAACCUGCAACCUCUUAAUUGAGUAUGGGGAGAUUAUGCCAUUUGAGCUAUUACUCAUUGGCUUCGCUGAAAUUCGUUUGUUAGAGACUAAAAAGUUUAGUUAAAUCAGCUCCCAUCAAUAUUUGAACAAAAACAUAAGUCUUUACUAUUUUUAAAAUUUUCAAAUGAAUCUCUUUUGUAUAGAUAAAAAUUAAGUUGUCUAACAAAAUAAAAAAUUUAAAACUAAUUUGAUAAUUAAAAAUUUUUAGAAACCAAAAUGUAUGAUUAAAUUUUUUAAUAAACUAUUUUGAGACAUUACUACUCUAUUUUAAUUUGAAAUUAGGUUAUGUCCAGCCCAGUUUUAAUUUGAAUGAAAAGUUGUUAAGAGAAUAAAGUCCAAAAUACAAAAGGAAAAAGAAAGUUGUUAGAGAUUGAUGUGUAAAUCUGCGGACCAUGGUGAAAACUAAAGAUUAUGAAUCUCUCAUUGAAUUGUUUUGUAAUACGAGAAUUUUAUUUUUUUUCGCGUAACAUUUUUAGGUGCUCGAAAAAUAUUGGUGUUUCAGUCAUUUUUUUUCCUCCAAAAUAAGUAAGCUUUCGUUAAUAAAAGAGAAUUACAAGUAUCAAUAUUCCAUACACUGGGACAGAGAGGAGCUUGGGAGCUAUAGAAGUUCAGACAACAGCCGCAUCGAAGAGGCUACAACUUCUGCUAGUGAUUGUGACUUUCUGAAAGACCCAUGAGUUUCGUGUCUUUCAUAUAUUCCACAGCAGAACCACUAACAAUGGGGAGUAAUUUGUUUGAUUUGAUAUGUUUCAGUAAUUUUAGUCAUUGAUAUCUGUUCGUACCUGAGCCGAAGUUAUGAGUUUAUGAGUUUCGGAGAUCUUAAUGGGCACAGCGUUGUUUUCAAGUCGGAAAAACUAUCUGUAAAGAUAUUUCGAUGCUUUAGUUAGUAGUGCUCUUAGGUGUUAAAGUGGACAGAUGCCUACCUGCUAAGUUUUUUUUUUCCUUCAUACUAUUUUUUUAGUUGGAUUCGAUGUUAUUAGGCAUUUACUGUCUUGAAUAUUCAUUUUUUAAUGCUAUAAUGUGGCAACUUAAAGAG
RNAcentral lists this long non-coding RNA (2971 nucleotides) under Arachis ipaensis. RNAcentral describes it as "long non-coding RNA (AIPA_LNC001843)". The record is from RNAcentral. Lineage: Eukaryota; Viridiplantae; Streptophyta; Magnoliopsida; Fabales; Fabaceae.